CCUACGGGUGGCUGCAGUCGAGGAUCUUCGGCAAUGGGCGCAAGCCUGACCGAGCGACGCCGCGUGUGCGACGAAGGCCUUCGGGUUGUAAAGCACUGUCGAGGGGGAUGAAGGCCCGCAAGGGCUUGACAGAUCCCUGGAGGAAGCACGGGCUAAGUUCGUGCCAGCAGCCGCGGUAAGACGAACCGUGCGAACGUUAUUCGGAUUCACUGGGCUUAAAGGGCGCGUAGGCGGGUCGGCGAGUCGGGGGUGAAAUCUUUCGGCCCAACCGGAAAAGGGCCUCCGAUACCGGCGACCUCGAGUGGGGUAGGGGCAGGCGGAACUCAGGGUGGAGCGGUGAAAUGCGUAGAUAUCCUGAGGAACGCCGGUGGCGAAAGCGGCCUGCUGGACCCCUCCUGACGCUGAGGCGCGAAAGCCAGGGGAGCAAACGGGAUUAGAUA
RNAcentral lists this ribosomal RNA (440 nucleotides) under uncultured bacterium. RNAcentral's name for it is "bacterial SSU rRNA". It matches the Rfam family "Bacterial small subunit ribosomal RNA", at positions 338 to 784 of the family's 1533-position model. The record is from RNAcentral.